RNAcentral lists this long non-coding RNA (359 nucleotides) under Phoenix dactylifera (date palm). RNAcentral's name for it is "long non-coding RNA (PDAC_LNC017301)". The record is from RNAcentral. Lineage: Eukaryota; Viridiplantae; Streptophyta; Magnoliopsida; Arecales; Arecaceae.
AUGGAUGUAGGUCAAACAGGGAAAGCUUGGACGAAAGAGGGAGACUCUUUUUAGUUUCACACCUAAUGGAAGGAGAGAAACCUUAGGGCCUAAGGUCACCGACCCGUGCAUUGAAUUGGUUGGCCAGAGACCCUUAUAUACCUGGUUGUUGUGGACACAAAAACUAUAAUAAUAGCAGUGGGAAGGAAUGGAAAGUAGGAAUUAAAAGUCCACAUUUGCUGUCGUCCUUCCAAGAUCCAGCCUCCGGCGUUCCUCAUCUUUGAACCGUCUCGAACCCAGACGAUUUCCUUCCCUAUAAAGUCGGCGCCCAGCUGCCCCCCACCUCUGUCUCUCUCUCUCUCUCUCUCUCUCACUCUCCU